Molecule: ribosomal RNA, 433 nt
Filed under: uncultured bacterium
Lineage: Bacteria
Description: partial 16S ribosomal RNA
Rfam family: Bacterial small subunit ribosomal RNA
Source: RNAcentral
AACGAACGCUGGCGGCAUGCCUAACACAUGCAAGUCGAACGAGACCUUCGGGUAUAGUGGCGCACGGGUGCGUAACGCGUGGGAACCUGCCCUUAGGUUCGGAAUAACUCCCCGAAAGGGGUGCUAAUACCGGAUAAUGUCUUCGGACCAAAGAUUUAUCGCCGUUGGAUGGGCCCGCGUUGGAUUAGCUAGUUGGUAGGGUAAAAGCCUACCAAGGCGACGAUCCAUAGCUGGUCUGAGAGGAUGAUCAGCCACACUGGGACUGAGACACGGCCCAGACUCGUACGGGAGGCAGCAGUGGGGAAUAUUGGACAAUGGGCGAAAGCCUGAGCAAGCAAGGCCGCGUGAGUAAUGAAGGCCUUAGGGUUGUAAAGCUCUUGUACCCGGGACGAUAAUGACAGUACCGGGAGAAUAAGCUCCGGCUAACUCCGUG